UACGGUCACAUCCCACUGAAAGACCAGCUCCCAUGUGAUCACCAAAUUUAAGCAACGUUGAGCCUGGUUAAUACCUAGAUGAGUGAUUACUUGGGAAUACCAGGUGCUGUAAG
Acanthosepion pharaonis is the source of this 113-nucleotide non-coding RNA. The record is from the annotation of a GenBank genome assembly. Lineage: Eukaryota; Metazoa; Mollusca; Cephalopoda; Sepiida; Sepiidae.